This 528-nucleotide long non-coding RNA is filed under the name Calidris pygmaea (Spoon-billed sandpiper). RNAcentral's name for it is "lncRNA (ENSCPGG00000014541.1)". Lineage: Eukaryota; Metazoa; Chordata; Aves; Charadriiformes; Scolopacidae. The record is from RNAcentral.
GUUUGUUCAUUAUUUCACAUUUAAAAACAAUAAAUGGGAAGAAAAUUUCACAACAGGAUUAUUGUUUCAAAAUGUUUUCUUUGAAAAAUUUCAAAAUCAAUCUUUUUAAGCAUCUUUUUCUUCCAAAUUAAUCACCAGGUUAAAGCCAAAUAGAUACACAUUUUAAGAAGUCUUCUGAGUUUCAUUGCUCAUUUUUCUACUCAUAUUAACAAUUAUCUUACUUUUUUUUUCUGUUACCCUUGAUAGAUGAAGCACAUUCUUCAAAAAGAUCUAUACUCUGGCCCCAUCAAUAUCCACUUUUAUACUGAUGCUUUUAAGAAACUGCCAGUCAGGAAUAACAAGAUUCUCUGAUCCAGGCUCAGCUUCGAGGAAAGAGAGGAAAAAGAAGCAGCACUGGUCACACCUGAAGGUAUCUUCACACAACUGAAUUAUGCAUACUUUUCUCAUUAUUUUUAAGCAAUGAACUUGAGUUCUUUGUUUAUCAUCUCCCUCUCAGCUUGAAUUUGCUGCCUCAUAUGGUUCUGCUCA